This 72-nucleotide transfer RNA is filed under the name Trichobilharzia regenti. It matches the Rfam family "tRNA". From Rfam's summary of the family: Transfer RNA (tRNA) molecules are approximately 80 nucleotides in length. Their secondary structure includes four short double-helical elements and three loops (D, anti-codon, and T loops). Further hydrogen bonds mediate the characteristic L-shaped molecular structure. tRNAs have two regions of fundamental functional importance: the anti-codon, which is responsible for specific mRNA codon recognition, and the 3' end, to which the tRNAs corresponding amino acid is attached (by aminoacyl-tRNA synthetases). tRNAs cope with the degeneracy of the genetic code in two manners: having more than one tRNA (with a specific anti-codon) for a particular amino acid; and 'wobble' base-pairing, i.e. permitting non-standard base-pairing at the 3rd anti-codon position. Lineage: Eukaryota; Metazoa; Platyhelminthes; Trematoda; Strigeidida; Schistosomatidae. The record is from Rfam by way of RNAcentral.
GGCCUUGUAUUGUAGCGGUUAGCACUCUGGACUCUGAAUCCAGCGACCCGAGUUCGAGUCUCGGCGAGGCCU